This 781-nucleotide ribosomal RNA is filed under the name actinobacterium 41832. RNAcentral's name for it is "bacterial SSU rRNA". It matches the Rfam family "Bacterial small subunit ribosomal RNA", at positions 61 to 858 of the family's 1533-position model. The record is from RNAcentral. Lineage: Bacteria; Bacillati; Actinomycetota; Actinomycetes.
GUCGACGAUGACCACUUCGGUGGGGAUUAGUGGCGAACGGGUGAGUAACACGUGGGCAAUCUGCCCUGCACUCUGGGACAAGCCCUGGAAACGGGGUCUAAUACCGGAUACUGAUCCUCGCAGGCAUCUGCGAGGUUCGAAAGCUCCGGCGGUGCAGGAUGAGCCCGCGGCCUAUCAGCUAGUUGGUGAGGUAACGGCUCACCAAGGCGACGACGGGUAGCCGGCCUGAGAGGGCGACCGGCCACACUGGGACUGAGACACGGCCCAGACUCCUACGGGAGGCAGCAGUGGGGAAUAUUGCACAAUGGGCGAAAGCCUGAUGCAGCGACGCCGCGUGAGGGAUGACGGCCUUCGGGUUGUAAACCUCUUUCAGCAGGGAAGAAGCGAAAGUGACGGUACCUGCAGAAGAAGCGCCGGCUAACUACGUGCCAGCAGCCGCGGUAAUACGUAGGGCGCAAGCGUUGUCCGGAAUUAUUGGGCGUAAAGAGCUCGUAGGCGGCUUGUCACGUCGGUUGUGAAAGCCCGGGGCUUAACCCCGGGUCUGCAGUCGAUACGGGCAGGCUAGAGUUCGGUAGGGGAGAUCGGAAUUCCUGGUGUAGCGGUGAAAUGCGCAGAUAUCAGGAGGAACACCGGUGGCGAAGGCGGAUCUCUGGGCCGAUACUGACGCUGAGGAGCGAAAGCGUGGGGAGCGAACAGGAUUAGAUACCCUGGUAGUCCACGCCGUAAACGGUGGGCACUAGGUGUGGGCAACAUUCCACGUUGUCCGUGCCGCAGCUAACGC